Non-coding RNA from Pelobates cultripes (western spadefoot toad), 526 nucleotides. The record is from the annotation of a GenBank genome assembly. Lineage: Eukaryota; Metazoa; Chordata; Amphibia; Anura; Pelobatidae.
AGUCACCAAUUAGACAACCACAACAUGCCCGCCCGCCCGCAAUAUUGGCAGCUGCAUGUCUCUGGGGGACCCUGAGGUGGACAGCCAGCCAGCUUUUGGGUCCCCCAUGAAAGAGGCUAACAAGUUAUGUGCCAGUGCACUCAAGGGGGGUGGCAUUUUUUGCUGCCCCCCUUAAAGUGCUGCCCAAGACAAAUGCCUUGUUAGCCUUGCUGUAAAUACAACACUGGCCUAUACUCAAGUAUGGCUAACUGCCCUAUUCCUCAAUCCAGUACCUUACUUUUUAAUGAAACUCAAUAGGCAGUAAAGGCAUCUAUCAUUUAUAUAGUUUGUGUCUCUUACCAGGGGAGGGAAAGGGGGGGGAGAAUACGUGUCAGGAGACUGACAAGCCGAGACAGGGACUAAACACGAGAAUAAAAAGUGUUUGAAUUAGUUUUUCUUUUCCUUUCUUCUCUUCUUUACAAUUGAGAAUAUACAUUCAAAAUGUUUUGGAAUGCUGAAUGUUGUAUAAUUCUGUAUACCACUUUAC